Molecule: long non-coding RNA, 763 nt
Organism: Carassius carassius (crucian carp)
Lineage: Eukaryota; Metazoa; Chordata; Actinopteri; Cypriniformes; Cyprinidae
Exons: 2
Source: RefSeq, a predicted model, not a curated record
GUUACUUUCACUUUCAUUUUAGCGUGAUUUUUGGGUGGAGUGUGUCAAUUAAUGGCGGAAGGGAGUUAUAUUUAAAGGGAGCGUCUAGUACCUGAAUCAAAGGCGUCAUCCAUUUGUUUGCACAUGAGGGUAGCCCGUAUGAGUGAUGGUUAUGGUGGAAAGACGGCUGCGUGUCAAUCAGCUGUUUCAUGGGUAUGAUGUCUGGUGCGUGACUGAAGCAUUGCACUUCCAGACCAACUGUCAUGAGCGGUCCUGAAGACAAGGAAAAAACCGCUUAUCCACCUAUCUUGGUGUCUGGUGACCUGUGAUACUCAUUGGUGCCUUCAAUACCUGCAAACGUGCGUGACGCGGUCGGUUUCUGGCACGGGCACGGAUUCCGAAGAGAGACCGCUAGUGGGAACGUGUGGUCAUUUCUUAUUUUGUUUUUAUUUUUAUUUAUUUUUUGUCCAUUUAGUUUUCUGUGUUAUUAUGAUUUUGAACAUAUGAAAGAAUAAAUAUCCUAAUGACCUUUAGUCUGGGAUUAUUAUAAUUUGUUGUGUAACAGGUGGUUAUUUUUCUGCUAUCCUGGGUUAAGUUAAUUUUUGACAGGUUUAAUCCUGUCUGGCGCCCAAAGGUUUUUUUCUUUAAAAUAGUUAUUUAAGUUAGGGCAGCGACCACCGUUAUAGAGUGGCGCCCGAACAGGGACCUGAACUGAAACCUGCUUGAACACUUGAAACUUGAACUUUUGAUUUUGACAAUCCCUGUGAACUAUUGAACACUUGAA